AUGUCUCACAGUGUUUUUUUAAGCAGUUUAGUUGGACCAACUGUGUCUACUUUUAAUUGUUUUGGUUUUGAGUUAGAAGUGAAACUCUUGUUUGGCUUUCAAAGCAGAAGCAUCGAUAUGGAAGUUGGCGGUAGCUGUGACUGGAUUGGGAGUAACCAUGGGUGUCAUCUUACUGGUGCUGGGGCUUCUCACAUUCAAAAGAAGAAGUGAAACAUGUCCUCAAAGCAGGUAAGGAAUAUUUUCUCAGCAAACCUUAAUAAAUUGUUUUUCUAUCAUCAUUGAGACAACCAGAAGUUGAACUUAUUUACUUCAGACUUUUUCUUUUUAAGCCAGUGAACAGAAUCACUGGAGCAGUAGUGAAUCACAUGCCUUGCUUGAGGGCAGGACGCCUAAUAAAUAUGUCUCAUAAUAUUUUUUUCUAAUUCUCUACAACAGACACACUUUUUUCUUGUGUAAUGUAAUGCAUACAGCUUUUUUUUUAAAUUAUUUCAAACUUUUUCUUUAUUGAUGUAUAGGACAAAGGCAACAUCACCAGGUAUUGUAUACAUUUAUCUGUCAGGCAGCAUUACAAACUAUCAAUCCAUGUAUUAUAUUUUUUAGUGAGUUUUUCUUUUGUUACAGGUGAUUUUUUAUCAAUGACUAAAAUGAACCAGGGAAGAAUGGUAAUCGAAAUGAAAAUGUUUCUGUCAAAUGAAACAUACACUAAAUUAAAACAAUCAAUUUAAAUACCCAGGAUAUAAAGUUGAUUUUUUCCCCUGUUGUGUUAAGUUACCUGCAGGUAAUGAUGGAGGCUCCAGUGUGAUCACUUCAGUACCUGACGACAACUAUCUGACUAGUAAGCUGUGUUUUUUCUAGCAUCUACCUGAAUGUAGUGUAGUACAAGAUGGAGGGCAAUUUGAUGGUGAAAUUGUUGUACAAGUAGCACAAGAACGUGAUGACUGUUUUAACAGUAAUAUUUUAAUUUGCUCAAACCUUUGUUCCAUAUCUAUAGCAUAUGUAGUUAUCACCGCUGACUAACUUUCAAUAAUAUAGUUGAUUUUUUCCAGUGUAUCACAAGGGAGCUUUGGCUUUGAUAACAUUUUACUACCUUGUAAUAAAGACAUUUACUUGACCACUAAAGAGCCUUUAAAAUGUUCACAUUUUUAAAAGCACUAUGACAUAUACAGUUACAAGAAAAAAUUUGUGAACC
RNAcentral lists this long non-coding RNA (1189 nucleotides) under Oreochromis niloticus (Nile tilapia). RNAcentral describes it as "lncRNA (ENSONIG00000037985.1)". The record is from RNAcentral. Lineage: Eukaryota; Metazoa; Chordata; Actinopteri; Cichliformes; Cichlidae.